Molecule: ribosomal RNA, 521 nt
Filed under: uncultured Nocardioidaceae bacterium
Lineage: Bacteria; Bacillati; Actinomycetota; Actinomycetes; Propionibacteriales; Nocardioidaceae
Description: partial 16S ribosomal RNA
Source: RNAcentral
CACGUAGUUGGCCGGUGCUUCUUCUGUACCUACCGUCACCACCAUCAUCGGCGCUUCGUCGGUACUGAAAGAGGUUUACAACCCGAAGGCCGUCAUCCCUCACGCGGCGUUGCUGGAUCAGGCUUCCGCCCAUUGUCCAAUAUUCCCCACUGCUGCCUCCCGUAGGAGUCUGGGCCGCGUCUCAGUCCCAGUGUGGCCGGUCACCCUCUCAGGCCGGCUACCCGUCGAAGCCUUGGUAGGCCAUUACCCCACCAACAAGCUGAUAGGCCGCGAGCACAUCCCUGGACCGAAAAAACUUUCCACCAACACCACAUGCGUAGGUUGGUCGUAUCCGGUAUAGCCACCGUUUCCGGUGGUUAUCCCAAAGCCAAGGGCAGAUUACUCACGUGUUACUCACCCGUUCGCCGCUCGAGUACCCCCGAAAGGGCCUUUCCGCUCGACUUGCAUGUGUUAAGCACGCCGCCAGCGUUCGUCCUGACGUCCGAGGACGUACCAAACCGUUACCUCGUACGACGAACGUU